This 467-nucleotide ribosomal RNA is filed under the name uncultured bacterium. RNAcentral describes it as "partial 16S ribosomal RNA". It matches the Rfam family "Bacterial small subunit ribosomal RNA", at positions 29 to 507 of the family's 1533-position model. The record is from RNAcentral.
ACGAACGCUGGCGGCGUGCUUAACACAUGCAAGUCGAACGGAAAGGCCCUGCUUUUGUGGGGUGCUCGAGUGGCGAACGGGUGAGUAACACGUGAGUAACCUGCCCUUGACUUUGGGAUAACUUCAGGAAACUGGGGCUAAUACCGGAUAGGAGCUCCUGCUGCAUGGUGGGGGUUGGAAAGUUUCGGCGGUUGGGGAUGGACUCGCGGCUUAUCAGCUUGUUGGUGGGGUAGUGGCUUACCAAGGCUUUGACGGGUAGCCGGCCUGAGAGGGUGACCGGCCACAUUGGGACUGAGAUACGGCCCAGACUCCUACGGGAGGCAGCAGUGGGGAAUAUUGCACAAUGGGCGGAAGCCUGAUGCAGCAACGCCGAGUGCGGGAUGACGGCCUUCGGGUUGUAAACCGCUUUCGCCUGUGACGAAGCGUGAGUGACGGUAAUGGGUAAAGAAGCACCGGCUAACUACGUG